UGGGGCUUUGGGGAGGAAAAAAAAGAGGAGGAAGAUUGGCAACAGAUGUUAGCUCAGGGCCAAUCUUCCUCAUCAAAAAGAAAGCAUAAAAAAAGAGAAAGGGAUAAAGCUGGAGAGAAAGGUGGAAUCACCUUGGUCCAAUCGACACGUAUUUAUCGAGUGGGCUGUGCUUGGUGUUGUGAGGGGGUCAGUUACAGUGUCCUGCCCUUGUGUUACUUAGCGACUCACUCCAACGUGAAACAGAUGGAGUGCGACUGAAUGCAAAGUUGUGUGCGUCUAAUCGUAAACUACUUCUGCCUGUUGCAGAAGCCCAGAGAAGCUCAUGGCGAAGGUUGGGUUUAAGACGGGACCUUGAAGAGCAAGCUGGAUGACAACGGAGAGAAGGAUGGGCUUCUGGACAGGGGGUCCGAUUGGGCUAAGACUGGGGUCAGGGCACAGCAGAGUGGGGAACGCGUGGUGGGGAGAAGGGGCCCAGCGUGGGGGUGAGCUGGCUGCACUCUGUCGGACAGCAGGCUGGGUGGUGGACUCAGGUGAAGCCAGACUUCAAAGUCUAGCCUGAGGGGAAGCAAUUUAAUUUAGACUAAAUGUGGAUAAUCUGAUGAAUCAUUGAUUUGCUCAGUGGAUCAUUUCAUAGCUCAGAAACGGAGGAAGCAGGGAAGAAAUGCGCUGCUCUGGACUUAACUCUGACCAGCCCCAGGGAACACUUGUUGGCAAUCGAGGGACUGGGACCCUUGGAGAAAGUGACUGUCAGGCUGGAGUGGGCACCGCAGGCGAGGGCACGGCAGCACGGCGGGCAUUAGUGCCAAGCCUGAGGAAGGGGCAUUUGAAAGCUCUGCUUGGGGACACAGAGAGGGCAGAGCCAGCUGCAGGCAGAGCCUCGGGAAUGGUGGUGGUGGUGGUGGCACAGGGGGCCGCCCGAGGCUGGCGGAUAAUGGAGGCUCUGAAAGCGGAAACCUGAGUGGCAGUCACAGAUGAUUUUAGAGGGAAGCGCUGCCUCUUCCCCACCACCACACACACUCACACUCUGCUCUCCACGUCUGUCAGGCAUCGAGGCGGUUAAUUCUCCCAGACACACCGCUGAGAGCGCCGGAGCCCUGUGGAGCUGAGACCGGGAUGGUGCUGCCAGGCUCAUUACAGGAUCCCAGAGGGAGUCUAUCAGGACAGGGUCCCCUCUCUCCCUCAGCCUCUGCAGGAGGCUCGUGCCUCUCUGCCUCCACUCCGACCCACCCUGGCAGGCCCACCCCUCGCCCGGCCCCGAGCCCCUGGAUCCCAGCCCCCUUCUGACUCUGUGCCAGGUCUCCGGCCAUGCCCACCCUCCUCGGGCCCCCCUUCGGCUUCCCGAUCUGAGCAAGGGCCAGUGCUCUGUGCUCUCUGGCGAAGAGGGCGGGGGGGGGGGCGAGGUGGCAGAGAAGUGGAGCCUGGAGAAAUCCCAAGCCAACCACACUGCCUCCCGCCAGCAUUCGACCAAAACAGCUCACCGGGAAGCAGCGGCGGUGCUCCCCGCCCUCCCACGCUCCGAGGGUCUUCUGCCCACUCAGGUGCCGCGCCUGGACAGGGUGGGCGUUUCAGGGGCGAAGGAAUGCGCGGGUGUGUGAGGACUUACCGAGCACUUGCCCCUGGCCAGGCCUUGCUCUGGCCACUCGGAUCUGCUCGUGAGAUGGAGCCGUGGGAGUGCCCGCACCAGUCAAGCCUCCAGCCCAGGGCAGCAGGCAACAAACAUCAUACCCGUGCAGAGGAUGCGGCAUACCAGAGGGUGGCAAGCAUCACAGGGAGAAACAGAGCCGGACGGGGCGCAAAGGAGGCGCUCCAUGGGGUGUGCCAACUCUCAGAGCUGGAAGGAGGAAUUCGGUUGUUUGUUAAGCAUUGUCCUCUUCAGUGGCUUGAAGUGACUGAUAGUCCUGAGAGAGCACCUAGCACGCCAUGCAGUUCACGCGACAACCUUCCUACGUGCGAGGAGACCAGCGCCGUGUGAUAGGGGCUGACGGAGAGGCGGGAGUGGGUGAGGCCCUCUGCCGCCGUUCUCUCUCCCCUCUCCACUGGGGUGGUCUCCACGUCCAGGGCCAAGGCUUUCCGGCUGCCCGGGGUCUCUCCCAUCUUAGAGGGAGGGAUUUGACAAAC
Molecule: long non-coding RNA, 2118 nt
Organism: Equus caballus (horse)
Lineage: Eukaryota; Metazoa; Chordata; Mammalia; Perissodactyla; Equidae
Source: Ensembl